GCCACCCUUCGGGCAGCCUGUGUCUGGGAGACCCUUCCACUCCUGGGGUGGGGCCUCAGCCCCUCAGGCCUCGCGCCCAGCACUCCCCGCCUCUGUCAGGUGCUGCUUUUCCCAUACUUCACUUUUUUCAAAUCCCCAUCGCCACCCAAGUGCACGGAGAAGCCAACUGGAGCGUGCUUGGUGCACGUAUCCCAGCAGGAUUCUCUCCUGGAUCUUCAGACCAGAACAGCUACUGACUGGCACAUGUUCCUGUGUCGGCGAUGACACUGGUACCCCUCCAGGCCAGCUCCUGUUGAAGACAUGAGCCACGGAGGCAGAGGUGACCUGAGAACGAGAUCAUCCAACACCCCUCCAGCUGCAGACUCCCGGACCUGGUUUGGCUCCCAGCCUCCUCCUGCACACCUCAUCUGCAGCAGCCAUCAGGGAGCGUGUCCUCAUCCCUUGGAAGGUUCCCCGGGUGUUGGGAGGAGCUCCAGAUCCCGGGAUGGGAGGGAGUUCUGGCACCACCCGUCUGGAGGGGCAGCAGAUCCCCUGGUCUCCCAGCUUGCUGCUCUAAGGGGCCCCCUUCUAGGUCAGCAACACUUCCGUUCCCCUGGUGGAGUGAAGGCUCUCAACUUCAGGGCUAUUGACUGUUAGGGCUGGUGACUCUUUGGGGGUUCUUGUUCAUGUAGGAGAGUCAGCAGCCCCUGGAUUCUGCCCACUGCAUGCGGUGGGCCCUUGUAGUGACAAACGAAUAUGUCCAGACACAGCCUAGGAGACCAGGUCACCCAGGAUUGAGAACCACUGUGUUAGAAUAAUAGGUUCUACAAAUGUUUAAAUUUCACCUCCUCUCUCCCCUGUGAGAGGAAAUGAAAGUAAGC
This is a non-coding RNA of Ictidomys tridecemlineatus (thirteen-lined ground squirrel), 860 nucleotides long. The record is from RefSeq and is a predicted model, not a curated record. Lineage: Eukaryota; Metazoa; Chordata; Mammalia; Rodentia; Sciuridae.